UUGUGUGCGCAUGCGUCGGUGGCUGCUGUCUCACUGUUCUUUUUCCUGCUUAACUUGGCAGCCUCGGCUUGACUGUUGUGUGGGCAAAGGCUGAGUGAGUGGGGGUAGAUCUCCUUGAUCAGUCAGUCUAUAAGGCACGUGUGAAGAGCUCUCACCAAGUAUGGAAGCGCCUUGUGGAAGUGCCCUGGUUCAUGAAACUACAAGAUGAUUCUCCAUACCCACCACUGCUUAUGGUUCCAUACGACUAAGAAACCUGGAAGUUAUAGUUUAAUAUCUAGUGCUCUGCUCUAUAAGGAGAAUUCAAGAUGUUUCUAGAUACGGUGUUUGCUCACCAGAACACAAGCCAGCUGCAAUCUACAUGUUUAGAGUGGUGACCCUGCUAAUUUACAUGACCAGCAUAUAGCAUAGCUAUCAUCCUGCCAAAAAAGCAGUAGUGCUAAAGUCUGACUUUGUGAGCUUCCCAUUCUAUUGCUUUUAGUAAAAAAUGGUGUAGAAGUGUC
Hemicordylus capensis (graceful crag lizard) is the source of this 500-nucleotide long non-coding RNA. RefSeq lists it as uncharacterized. The transcript is spliced from 2 exons. The record is from RefSeq and is a predicted model, not a curated record. Lineage: Eukaryota; Metazoa; Chordata; Lepidosauria; Squamata; Cordylidae.